AGACUGAAACUAAGCAAGGAGAGCUUGAGCCCACCAAUUGAUGCCACACGGUACAGGAGUGUGGUUGGAAGUCUGAGGUACCUAAUUCACACUCAACCAGACAUUUGCUAUUCUGUUGGAUAUGUGAGCAGGUUCAUGGAGAAAUCAACUUUAGAGCAUCUGGCUGAAGUUAAACAUAUUCUGAGGUAUGUGAAGGGAACACUGAACCAUGGGUGUUUUUACAAGAAAGGAACAGAUGAGAGACUACAGUUGGCUGGGCAUACUGACUUUUGAAGGGAUAUUGAUGACAGAAAGAGCACUAUAGGGGUGAUUUUCUAUCUUGGUAAUAGUCCUAUUACCUAGGUGUCUCGAAAACAGAAGACUGUUGCUUUAUCUUCAUGUGAAGCGGAGUUUAUUGCUGCAAGUGCAGCUGCAUGCCAAAGUGUUUGGCUUGGGAGGCUUCUAGCAUAAUUUUUCAACAAGGAGCCAGACAAGGUGGUGCUCAAGAUUGAUAAUCAAUCUGCCAUAUCAUUAUGCAAAAAUUUGGUGUUCCACGAGAGAAGUAAACACAUUGACACACGAUAUUGUUUUGUGAGAGAAUGUGUUGAUGAAGGGAAAUUUGCAGUGGAGCAUGUUAGAACAGAGGAUCGGCUUGCCGACAUUUUAACCUAGCCAUUGCCAAGGCUUAGGUUUCAGGAAAUGAAGGAGAAGAUUGGGUUACAAAGUGUCAAGCUAGCGCACCAAGCUUAA
This 729-nucleotide ribosomal RNA is filed under the name Triticum aestivum (bread wheat). RNAcentral describes it as "partial small subunit ribosomal RNA". Lineage: Eukaryota; Viridiplantae; Streptophyta; Magnoliopsida; Poales; Poaceae. The record is from RNAcentral.